This 253-nucleotide ribosomal RNA is filed under the name uncultured bacterium. Its description in RNAcentral is "partial 16S ribosomal RNA". It matches the Rfam family "Bacterial small subunit ribosomal RNA", at positions 524 to 776 of the family's 1533-position model. The record is from RNAcentral.
UACGAAGGGGGCUAGCGUUGUUCGGAAUUACUGGGCGUAAAGCGUGCGCAGGCGGCUUCUCAAGUCAGGGGUGAAAGCCCAGAGCUCAACUCUGGAAUUGCCUUUGAGACUGAGUGGCUUGAGUACGAGAGAGGUGAGUGGAAUUCCCAGUGUAGAGGUGAAAUUCGUAGAUAUUGGGAAGAACACCGGUGGCGGAGGCGGCUCACUGGCUCGUAACUGACGCUCAUGCACGACAGCGUGGGGAGCAAACAGG